CCUACGGGUGGCAGCAGUGGGGAAUAUUGGGCAAUGGGCGCAAGCCUGACCCAGCAACGCCGCGUGAAGGAAGAAGGCUUUCGGGUUGUAAACUUCUUGUAAGAGGGAAGAGCAGAAGACGGUACCUCUGGAAUAAGCCACGGCUAACUACGUGCCAGCAGCCGCGAUAAUACGUCGGUGGCAAGCGUUGUCCGGAUUUACUGGGUGUAAAGGGCGGGCAGGCGGGAAGACAAGUCAGCUGGGAAAUCCCGCGGCUCAACCGCGGAACUGCAUUUGCAACUUUUUUUCUUGAGUACCGGAGAGGUCAUCGGCAUUCCUUUUGUCGCGGUGACAUGCGUAGAUAUCAGG
This 348-nucleotide ribosomal RNA is filed under the name uncultured bacterium. RNAcentral's name for it is "partial 16S ribosomal RNA". It matches the Rfam family "Bacterial small subunit ribosomal RNA", at positions 338 to 701 of the family's 1533-position model. The record is from RNAcentral.